CAGUCGCCGCGGUAAAACGGAGGGUGCAAGCGUUAAUCGGAAUUACUGGGCGUAAAGCGCACGCAGGCGGUCUGACAAGUCAGAUGUGAAAUCCCCGGGCUUAACCUGGGAACUGCAUUUGAAACUGUCAGGCUGGAGUCUUGUAGAGGGGGGUAGAAUUCCAGGUGUAGCGGUGAAAUGCGUAGAGAUCUGGAGGAAUACCGGUGGCGAAGGCGGCCCCCUGGACAAAGACUGACGCUCAGGUGCGAAAGCGUGGGGAGCAAACAGGAUUAGAUACCCGCGUAGUCCCUGUCUCUUAUAA
This 301-nucleotide ribosomal RNA is filed under the name uncultured bacterium. Its description in RNAcentral is "partial 16S ribosomal RNA". It matches the Rfam family "Bacterial small subunit ribosomal RNA", at positions 509 to 809 of the family's 1533-position model. The record is from RNAcentral.